This 213-nucleotide ribosomal RNA is filed under the name Sphingomonas koreensis. RNAcentral describes it as "partial 16S ribosomal RNA". It matches the Rfam family "Bacterial small subunit ribosomal RNA", at positions 1329 to 1533 of the family's 1533-position model. The record is from RNAcentral. Lineage: Bacteria; Pseudomonadati; Pseudomonadota; Alphaproteobacteria; Sphingomonadales; Sphingomonadaceae.
GAAUCGCUAGUAAUCGCGGAUCAGCAUGCCGCGGUGAAUACGUUCCCGGGCCUUGUACACACCGCCCGUCACACCACGAGAGUUUGUAACACCCGAAGUCGGUGAGGUAACCUUUUAGGAGCCAGCCGCCGAAGGUGGGACAGAUGAUUGGGGUGAAGUCGUAACAAGGUAGCCGUAUCGGAAGGUGCGGCUGGAUCACCUCCUUUCUAAGGA